This 493-nucleotide ribosomal RNA is filed under the name uncultured bacterium. Its description in RNAcentral is "partial 16S ribosomal RNA". It matches the Rfam family "Bacterial small subunit ribosomal RNA", at positions 29 to 523 of the family's 1533-position model. The record is from RNAcentral.
AUUGAACGCUGGCGGCAUGCAUUACACAUGCAAGUCGAACGGUAACAGGUUAAGCUGACGAGUGGCGAACGGGUGAGUAAUGCAUCGGAACGUGCCCGGUCGUGGGGGAUAACGCAGCGAAAGCUGCGCUAAUACCGCAUACGAUCUGAGGAUGAAGGCGGGGGACCGUAAGGCCUCGCGCGAUCGGAGCGGCCGAUGUCAGAUUAGGUAGUUGGUGGGGUAAAGGCUCACCAAGCCGACGAUCUGUAGCUGGUCUGAGAGGACGACCAGCCACACUGGGACUGAGACACGGCCCAGACUCCUACGGGAGGCAGCAGUGGGGAAUUUUGGACAAUGGGCGCAAGCCUGAUCCAGCAAUGCCGCGUGCAGGAAGAAGGCCUUCGGGUUGUAAACUGCUUUUGUACGGAGCGAAAAGGCUCUCUCUAAUACGGAGGGCUCAUGACGGUACCGUAAGAAUAAGCACCGGCUAACUCCGUGCCAGCAGCCGCAGUAA